CACCUACGGGCGCAGCAGUGGGGAAUAUCGGGCAAUGGGCGCAAGCCUGACCCAGCAACGCCGCGUGAAGGAAGAAGGCUUUCGGGUUGUAAACUUCUUUUCUUAGGGACGAAGAAUGACGGUACCUCGUAAGAAAGCCCCGGCUAACUACGUGCCAGCAGCCGCGGUAAUACGUAGGGGGCGAGCGUUGUCCGGAAUGACUGGGCGUAAAGGGAGUGUAGGCGGCAAUAUAAGUUAGAUGUGAAAUCCCGCGGCUCAACCGCGGAACUGCAUCUAAAACUAUAUAGCUGGAGUGCAGGAGAGGG
RNAcentral lists this ribosomal RNA (305 nucleotides) under uncultured bacterium. RNAcentral describes it as "bacterial SSU rRNA". It matches the Rfam family "Bacterial small subunit ribosomal RNA", at positions 335 to 658 of the family's 1533-position model. The record is from RNAcentral.